Molecule: ribosomal RNA, 464 nt
Filed under: uncultured bacterium
Lineage: Bacteria
Description: bacterial SSU rRNA
Rfam family: Bacterial small subunit ribosomal RNA
Source: RNAcentral
GGGCCCGCACAAGCAGAGGAGCAUGUGGCUUAAUUCGAUGCAACGCGAAGAACCUUACCCGGGUUUGACAUGCAGCUGCACGCCCCGUGAAAGCGGGGUUCCUUCGAGGGUGCUGCACAGGUGCUGCAUGGCUGUCGUCAGUUCGUGCCGUGAGGUGUUUGGUUAAGUCCAGCAACGAACGCAACCCCUGUGUCCAGUUGCCAUCAGGUAACGCUGGGGACUCUGGACAGACCGCCCGUUCACGCGGGAGGAAGGUGGGGACGACGUCAAGUCAGUAUGGCCCUUACAUCCGGGGCCGCACACGUGCUACAAUGGCCGGUACAAAGGGAAGCAAUGCCGCGAGGCGGAGCCAAUCCCCAAAACCGGCCCCAGUUCGGAUCGGGGUCUGCAACCCGACCCCGUGAAGCCGGAUUUGCUAGUAACGGCGCAUCAGCUACGGCGCCGUGAAUACGUUCCCGGGCCUU